UAGUCGAUGGGAAACAGGUUAAUAUUCCUGUACUUGGUGUUACUGCGAAGGGGGGACGGAGAAGGCUAUGUUGGCCGGGCGACGGUUGUCCCGGUUUAAGCGUGUAGGCUGGUUUUCCAGGCAAAUCCGGAAAAUCAAGGCUGAGGCGUGAUGACGAGGCACUACGGUGCUGAAGCAACAAAUGCCCUGCUUCCAGGAAAAGCCUCUAAGCAUCAGGUAACAUCAAAUCGUACCCCAAACCGACACAGGUGGUCAGGUAGAGAAUACCAAGGCGCUUGAGAGAACUCGGGUGAAGGAACUAGGCAAAAUGGUGCCGUAACUU
RNAcentral lists this ribosomal RNA (322 nucleotides) under Escherichia coli. RNAcentral's name for it is "partial 23S ribosomal RNA". It matches the Rfam family "Bacterial large subunit ribosomal RNA", at positions 1412 to 1736 of the family's 2925-position model. The record is from RNAcentral. Lineage: Bacteria; Pseudomonadati; Pseudomonadota; Gammaproteobacteria; Enterobacterales; Enterobacteriaceae.